This is a long non-coding RNA of Lates calcarifer (barramundi perch), 901 nucleotides long. RefSeq lists it as uncharacterized. Lineage: Eukaryota; Metazoa; Chordata; Actinopteri; Centropomidae. The transcript has 5 exons. The record is from RefSeq and is a predicted model, not a curated record.
UGAUUUAACUCGGGUUAUCAAGGAACGUCAGGGUUGACAGACGUCGGCUGCCUCGAUCUGCGUUAACUACGGCGACGGUGAAGAUGUCAGUGUCUCCACUUCGUCCACGAUCAGAGAAUCUUUGAACAAUGAAGGAAUUGUUUAGACCAGGACAGAGGCCUCCAGAAUUCAAACUUCAACCAUUAAAUCACAGAGAGAAGAGACAGACAUAAAGAUGUUUCCAGAAGGUCUCUGAAACGCCACCAGUGCUGUCGCAUAUCCCAUAACGCCAGGGAGUCAAGAGCGCUUGGGCAGGCGUUCACACUUUGUCUGCUUCAGAAUCACUUCUGUCUCCGACUGACCCUCCUCCCACUGAAAUCAACCCGACUCAACUCUACUGUGACAUUGAGUAUUUUUAACUGUUUUCCAUGCUUUACUAGUUUAUGACAGUAUUUAAGUGUUUAUGAUUGUUUGUUAUGCUUUACUGUAUUAUGACAUUUUUGAAUGUUGUUCAUGCCUUGAGUGUUUUUGACAGUUUUCCAUGUUUUACUGUUUGCCUUGUUGUACUGACAUUUUUGACUGUUGUUCACUGUUUUGUAUGUGUUUUUAUUGUGUGACAAUAAAUUGUGUGUGUGUAUUGUGUUUCCUGUUAGGAAGAGAUAGCAGAGGAAUGAGAGUAAAGGGAUGGGACACGCUUUGGCCCAGCCCUUUACUCAGAUAGGACAGUGUAGAUGAGCAUGGGAAUAACAUGCAAUAAACACUUAGCUGAACUGGGGCACAUGAGCCUAUAUGGGUGCCCCAUUUUUUAAAAAAAAUUUUUUCUGUUUUUUUUCCAUUGACAUUUUUUUUAUUUUUCCAUUCAAAUUUUUGAGAUUUUCAUUUUUUCAAUGUAACACUUAAGAAUAAAAUUUUUCCUCCAAAA